This 400-nucleotide ribosomal RNA is filed under the name uncultured bacterium. RNAcentral describes it as "bacterial SSU rRNA". It matches the Rfam family "Bacterial small subunit ribosomal RNA", at positions 355 to 771 of the family's 1533-position model. The record is from RNAcentral.
UGGGGAAUAUUGCACAAUGGGGGGAACCCUGAUGCAGCGACGCCGCGUGAGCGAGGAAGUAUUUCGGUAUGUAAAGCUCUAUCAGCAGGGACGAAAAAAGACGGUACCUGACUAAGAAGCCCCGGCUAACUACGUGCCAGCAGCCGCGGUAAUACGUAGGGGGCAAGCGUUAUCCGGAUUUACUGGGUGUAAAGGGAGCGUAGACGGCAAGGCAAGCCAGAAGUGAAAGGGCAGGGCUCAACCCUGUACAUGCUUUUGGAACUGUGGUGCUAGAGUGCAGGAGAGGUAAGUGGAAUUCCUAGUGUAGCGGUGAAAUGCGUAGAUAUUAGGAGGAACACCAGUGGCGAAGGCGGCUUACUGGACUGUAACUGACGUUGAGGCUCGAAAGCGUGGGGAGCAA